AUCGCUCGCGAUGUUUAACUGACAUGCCCGUGAGACGUCCUACCGGUGGGCUUAGCUUUUUCGGAGGCGGUCCAACUAAUAUCCCAUCGCGGUGCUCUUAAUUGAGUGUCGAGGUGGGCCGGUACGUUUACUUUGAACAAAUUAGAGUGCUUAAAGCAGGCUAUAUUUCGCCUGAAUAUUCUGUGCAUGGAAUAAUGGAAUAGGACCUCGGUUC
This 214-nucleotide ribosomal RNA is filed under the name Disorygma pacifica. RNAcentral's name for it is "partial 18S ribosomal RNA". Lineage: Eukaryota; Metazoa; Arthropoda; Insecta; Hymenoptera; Figitidae. The record is from RNAcentral.